GGUUCUUUUUGCUUCGGUUCCGGU
Molecule: non-coding RNA, 24 nt
Filed under: Arabidopsis thaliana (thale cress)
Lineage: Eukaryota; Viridiplantae; Streptophyta; Magnoliopsida; Brassicales; Brassicaceae
Source: RNAcentral